AGAGUUUGAUCAUGGCUCAGAGCGAACGUUAGCGGCGGGCCUAACACAUGCAAGUCGAACGAGAAUGUAGGCUUCGGUCUACUAGUAAAGUGGCGGACGGGUGCGUAACACGUGGGUAAUCUACCUUCCGGCGGGGGACAACAGUCCGAAAGGAUUGCUAAUACCGCAUACGUCAGCGGCGCCUACGGGCGCUGUUGGGAAAGAUGGCCUCUCCUUGGAAGCUGUCACCGGAAGAUGAGCCCGCGCCCCAUCAGCUAGUUGGUGAGGUAAUGGCUCACCAAGGCUUAGACGGGUAGCUGGUCUGAGAGGAUGAUCAGCCACACUGGGACUGCGACACGGCCCAGACUCCUACGGGAGGCAGCAGUGGGGAAUAUUGGGCAAUGGGCGAAAGCCUGACCCAGCCACGCCGCGUGAGUGAUGAAGGCCUUCGGGUCGUAAAGCUCUGUGGGGAGGGACGAACAAGCCUUGGGCUAAUCACCAGGGCCCUGACGGUACCUCCUUAGCAAGCACCGGCUAACCCUGUGCCAGCAGCCGCGGUAAUACAGGGGGUGCAAACGUUGCUCGGAAUCAUUGGGCGUAAAGCGCACGUAGGCGGUCUGUUAUGUCGGAUGUGAAAGCCCUUGGCUCAACUGAGGAAGUGCAUCCGAAACUGGCAGGCUAGAGUACUAAAGAGGGUCGCGGAAUUCCCGGUGUAGAGGUGAAAUUCGUAGAUAUCGGGAGGAACACCGGUGGCGAAGGCGGCGACCUGGGUAGAUACUGACGCUGAGGUGCGAAAGCGUGGGGAGCAAACAGGAUUAGAUACCCUAGUAGUCC
RNAcentral lists this ribosomal RNA (813 nucleotides) under uncultured bacterium. RNAcentral's name for it is "bacterial SSU rRNA". It matches the Rfam family "Bacterial small subunit ribosomal RNA", at positions 8 to 796 of the family's 1533-position model. The record is from RNAcentral.